AAUAUGAUAUUCCCGAAACUGGAAAAAAAUACAUUUUGGAAUCUGUUCAAGCUGCCUGGAGAAAGCACAAGAGUAGAUUGAAAAAUGAUCACUUUGACCCCUAUCCAAAUGAUGAAACUCGAAUGCAACAUAUCCUUAAAGAUAUUCUAGUUUCUCAGUUUAAGGAACUCCUUAGGUAUUGGAACUCUGAGAAACUCCAGGUGCAACGAUUGCGGAAGAAAGCAGUGACGAAGACCUUACUUGAGUGUUGUUGAUCGUUGUUAAACAUUCUAUAAUCAUGUUCAAAGAUAUUUUAGUUUAGAACUUUUUGUAUGCAAACUCAUCUAUUUUGACUUUUGAAUUGUUGAUCAAACAAUGUAUUCACAUUUUGUUUUUUAUAUGAGUAAUGCUAGUUGAAUAUUUUAAUUUUA
Nicotiana tabacum (common tobacco) is the source of this 410-nucleotide long non-coding RNA. RefSeq lists it as uncharacterized. The record is from RefSeq and is a predicted model, not a curated record. NCBI's taxonomy places the organism in Eukaryota, Viridiplantae, Streptophyta, Magnoliopsida, Solanales, Solanaceae.